GCUGAACUUCACCAGAAGGUAGUUUUAACACUAUUGGUACACCUGAACAACCAACUGAAGAAUGUAAGAAAACGUUACUGCACCCUUAAGGCCCUUCUGCUUAUAAACAAGCUUUGUCUGACAGCCUCCUGUUCUUCUCCUACCUCAUAUUGUCACUCACCGCUGUAAUUCCUCGCUUGCAAGAAAUCAUUAUCACAGCUCUUCUUUUCUCACCACUGCAGUGCCUACCAUAUGAAUCACCUCCUUUAUAAAUCAGCAUGAUCCAGUCACUUCCAUUGAAGACCUGGGUUUCAUUGAUUCUUCCUAUCACUGUAGUCUUUCCAGACUGCCUAUCCAUUUGUACUAGGCCAGCAAAAUCAUGCAAGCUGCUGUUGACCUCUCUGCAUACCCUGAAAUGGUAGGCAUAGUUUUCAGUUGUGCCAAUCUCCACAGUCGUGUUAAAUCUUAUUUGGCUCAGGGGUUCUAGUUUCUUCAGCAGGGCUUUUUCCAUUUGGGACUCAGUACUCUCAUCACCAACCACAUCACAGCUCUUCUCCGACAGCGGUUCAGCCCCCACACCAGCAGCAAGGGCCAUAAAGACUACCAGCACAGCAGAGGUAUGGCAAUGUGAUGACAUCCUGCUACUGUGCACCGUCCUCUCGGCCCGCACCGCGGCCCGACGGAGAAAUGAAGGCUGCUCAGGGACAGGCCGUAGCCGGCGAGCAGGGGCAGAGCCCAAGGGCCACAGCAGCAGCCAUGGCUGUCUCACUACCCUCGCCCGCCCCAUGAACCGGAAAUAGGAAGAGCAUGACAAAAACUAAUGCGCUGCGCCGCCCAAGGAAACCUCAG
Molecule: long non-coding RNA, 828 nt
Filed under: Gallus gallus (chicken)
Lineage: Eukaryota; Metazoa; Chordata; Aves; Galliformes; Phasianidae
Source: RNAcentral